ACGCUAUUAGCAUAAAUGGAGAAUGCGCACGGCUACGGACCAUGACAAUAGGGGUUCGAAUCCUCUAUAGCGUACCA
RNAcentral lists this transfer RNA (77 nucleotides) under Bacteriophage sp. RNAcentral describes it as "tRNA-Arg". It matches the Rfam family "tRNA". From Rfam's summary of the family: Transfer RNA (tRNA) molecules are approximately 80 nucleotides in length. The record is from RNAcentral.